Molecule: ribosomal RNA, 460 nt
Filed under: uncultured bacterium
Lineage: Bacteria
Description: partial 16S ribosomal RNA
Rfam family: Bacterial small subunit ribosomal RNA
Source: RNAcentral
CCUACGGGUGGCAGCAGUGAGGAAUAUUGGUCAAUGGACGAGAGUCUGAACCAGCCAAGCCGCGUGCAGGAUGACUGCUCUAUGGGUUGUAAACUUCUUUUAUAUGGGAAUAAAUUGUUCUACGUGUGGGAUUUUGUAUGUACCAUAUGAAUAAGGAUCGGCUAACUCCGUGCCAGCAGCCGCGGUAAUACGGAGGAUUCGAGCGUUAUCCGGAUUUAUUGGGUUUAAAGGGAGCGUAGGUGGAUGGUUAAGUCAGUUGUGAAAGUUUGGGGCUCAACCGUAACAUUGCAGUUGAGACUGGCAGUCUAGAGUACAGUAGAGGUAGGAGGAAUGCGUGGUGUAGCGGUGAAAUGCAUAGAGAUCACGAAGAACACCGAUUGCGAAGGCAGUUCACUGGACUACAACUGACGCUGAGGCUCGAAAGUGUGGGGAUCAAACAGGAUUAGAUACCCCAGUAGUC